CUACGGGCGGCUGCAGUGAGGAAUAUUGCACAAUGGGGGGAACCCUGAUGCAGCAACGCCGCGUGGAGGAUGACGCAUUUCGGUGUGUAAACUCCUUUUAUAUGUCAAGAAAAUGACGGCAGCAUAUGAAUAAGCACCGGCUAACUCCGUGCCAGCAGCCGCGGUAAUACGGAGGGCGCAAGCGUUACUCGGAAUCACUGGGCGUAAAGGACGCGUAGGCGGGUUGGAAAGUCAGGUGUGAAAUCCUACAGCUUAACUGUAGAACUGCACUUGAAACUUCUAAUCUAGAGUAUGGGAGGGGGAGAUGGAAUUAGUGGUGUAGGGGUAAAAUCCGUAGAUAUCACUAGGAAUACCUAAAGCGAAGGCGAUCUCCUGGAACAUUACUGACGCUAAGGCGUGAAAGCGUGGGGAGCAAACAGGAUUAGAUACCCGAGUAGUC
Molecule: ribosomal RNA, 439 nt
Filed under: uncultured bacterium
Lineage: Bacteria
Description: partial 16S ribosomal RNA
Rfam family: Bacterial small subunit ribosomal RNA
Source: RNAcentral